Molecule: ribosomal RNA, 301 nt
Filed under: uncultured bacterium
Lineage: Bacteria
Description: partial 16S ribosomal RNA
Rfam family: Bacterial small subunit ribosomal RNA
Source: RNAcentral
CAGCCGCCGCGGUAAUACGUAGGGUGCGAGCGUUAAUCGGAAUUACUGGGCGUAAAGCGUGCGCAGGCGGUUUGUUAAGACAGAUGUGAAAUCCCCGGGCUUAACCUGGGAACUGCAUUUGUGACUGGCCGGCUAGAGUAUGGCAGAGGGAGGUAGAAUUCCACGUGUAGCAGUGAAAUGCGUAGAUACGUGGAGGAACACCGAUGGCGAAGGCAGCCUCCUGGGCCAAUACUGACGCUCAUGCACGAAAGCGUGGGGAGCAAACAGGAUUAGAUACCCCAGUAGUCCCUGUCUCUUAUAC